This 441-nucleotide ribosomal RNA is filed under the name uncultured bacterium. RNAcentral's name for it is "partial 16S ribosomal RNA". It matches the Rfam family "Bacterial small subunit ribosomal RNA", at positions 339 to 795 of the family's 1533-position model. The record is from RNAcentral.
CUACGGGUCGCAGCAGUGGGGAAUAUUGGGCAAUGGGCGCAAGCCUGACCCAGCAACGCCGCGUGAGGGAAGAAGGUUUUCGGAUUGUAAACCUCUGUCCUUGGGGACGAAGAAGUGACGGUACCCAAGGAGGAAGCUCCGGCUAACUACGUGCCAGCAGCCGCGGUAAUACGUAGGGAGCAAGCGUUGUCCGGAAUUACUGGGCGUAAGGGGUGCGUAGGCGGCAUAUUAAGUCAGGUGUGAAAUACUCGGGCUCAACCCGGGGGCUGCAUUUGAAACUGAUAUGCUUGAGUGUGAGAGAGGAAAGUGGAAUUCCUAGUGUAGCGGUGGAAUGCGUAGAUAUUAGGAGGAACACCAGUGGCGAAGGCGACUUUCUGGCUCAUAACUGACGCUGAGGCACGAAAGCGUGGGGAGCAAACAGGAUUAGAUACCCCGGUAGUC